AUGUUAUCUGCAUAUACAUGUCAGAAAGACUGAAGACCAGUGUGAACACAGGCUUGUGGUAGACAGUUUCUAACGUUAGCUUUUGUGACUGCUACUGCACGUUGAGUGGAUGUUUUCAGGGAACUUGCCCAUGAUAUCCAGGAUCUUUCUUGAGUGAUCAUUUAUGAAUAUGUUGAACAGUACAGAUCCUUACUGAUCCAUAAGGACCUUCCCUCUAUCCCAGGACUACUUGUUUUUGCUUAAGAGCCUUUGAGGUGGGACCUCAGUGAAGGCCUUCUGAAAGUCGAAGUACACUAGAUUACCCUUGUCCACAUGCUUGAUACCCUUAAAGAAUUCUAAUGGGUCAAAGAAAUGAGUCACCCUCUCAUCCUACAGUGACUUAGGACAGAGUUAAAAACAUAUUGGCGAGGCAAAGAAAUGUACACGAUGUAUCAACCCCGCACUGGGCCAACAGGGACUGACCAAGCAUUAUGGGCCCAGGAGACCAGGCCCCCUCACCUCUGCUGCGCAUGGCCCAGGUGGAGGGGACAGAUAAAAGGAGGCAGCUCAGCUCAAUCGGUGUUGGUGAAAGAAGAGGAAGGAUGUGUGCUGCAGGCUCCUGCAGAGGAACCAUUGACUCUCCAUGGAUCUGGACUAUGCUGUGGAUGACCAGCUGACUGCAGAGACACCGAGCUGCUGCCAGCCGAGGAGAUGCCCAAGAUGGGCUUUAUGAUAAAUGUACCCUUCUUUAAGGAAGAGAAGUUUAACAAAAACAUGAAUUAUCUGAAUCUUCAGCAAAGAAAAAUACCCUAUUUAGAUGUUCAAGAACACAAAUUAUAGUUCAUAAAAGUUAUACACCCAUGCCAGUGGGGUGCUCAGAUGAUCAUUUCUCCCAGGAAUAUCAACAAGUGCAUAAAUUAAUUC
This is a long non-coding RNA of Malaclemys terrapin pileata, 903 nucleotides long. RefSeq lists it as uncharacterized. NCBI's taxonomy places the organism in Eukaryota, Metazoa, Chordata, Testudines, Emydidae. The record is from RefSeq and is a predicted model, not a curated record. The transcript has 5 exons.